AUGGGCAUCUUACUGAUGGUAUAUGCAUCACUUUCUCUUUUGCUAGUACUUGGGUCACUAGGAAAUCUAACAGAGUUAGCAUCUGGAGUUGUAACAAGCCACAGCCCCGUAGGGAAUUGGGCGCAUCCAUCACUUGCCAUGCAUGAUGGUUGCCCCAAGAGCUGUGGCAAUCUGAGCUUCGACUACCCCUUUGGCAUCGGUUCAAGGUGCUCUCGGGAUCCUGACUUCAACCUCAUUUGCAACCACACUGCUAAGCCCCCCAGGCUGUUCUUGUGCGACAGCAUCACCGAGGUGAUCGAGAACAUCGACGUUAGUAGCGACGGAGUUCUCUACGGACCUUACAACAUCCUUACUACCAUCCGACAUACUAUCCCCAUGAAAUCUGGUGUCCACAUCUACAACCUGUCAAUAAAAAUGCCUGGGAGGUCCUUCAAGUACCUUGGGGAAACAAUUCUGAACAUCAGUGGUUGCGAUCUGGAUGUGUAUUGGAUCGACAACAACACCGGCAGAACCACAUGGGUCUGCGGAACUGUGUGCCUGAAACAAGGAAUCACAGAGCUGAUGGCUCGGCACAAUUGUAACGGCGUCGGAUGUUGUAGUUUUCCUGUCGGUGACCUUGACGCUGAUGGUAUUGAGCUCAAAUUUGUCAGAAAAAUCAACACCAGGAUGACCUCUCUAUUGUGGGAUAGAAUCAGCAUAUCUGGAAGCGGUUCCAUGAUUGUGUGGAGAAUAGUGGAUCAACCCAACUGUGUUGUCGCCGUGCGAAACAGGGCAUCAUAUGCCUGUAUGGACAAGCAAUCCAACUGCUGGGACACAGAUAUGGGAUCAAGUGGCUACAACUGCUUCUGUAACUCUGGCUAUUCAGGCAAUCCCUUCGUUCAAGAUGGGUGCUCCAGUGACAAAGGGUAUAAUCCAAUUCAGACCAGAGCUAAUUGUACCCGUUUGUGUGGUAACAUUAGUGUGCAGUUUCCAUUUGGCUUGGAAGAGGGUUGCUUUGCAAGGGAACCAUUCCACCUCAAUUGCACAAACAUGUCAUCAUCGCCUGUCCUCCAGUUGCACGGUUUUCAUGUAAUCGACAUGAAUGUUGAUGAUGGGACUCUAAAGUUCACCACUAAUGGAGCAAUUUACGCCAUAGGAGAAGGCCCUCCUUUUUUUGCUGGUUUUGAGGAAUCUCUGCACUGGGCUGCUGCUAAUUUAAGUUGUGUAGAGGCCGAAAAGAAUAGAUCUGGGUAUGCUUGUGUGAGUAUCAACAGCAAGUGUGUAGGAGUAAACACUAUAUACAAUUAUGUUGGUUACCGCUGCAAAUGUUCAGAUGGCUUCGAAGGAAACCCAUACAUCGAAAGCGGCUGCCUAGAUGUUGAUGAAUGCCUUCAACCAAAUAUUUGCAAGGGGCUCUGCCAUAAUACAGAAGGAAGCUUCCAUUGUACGGAAUGUCCUCGCAAAACUGAGUAUGAUUCAGCAAAAAUGCAGUGUACGACGAGGAAACAACUGACUCUGCUUUUAGGUAUAAUUAUUGGGUUGUCUUGUGGAUUCGGUGUUCUACUUCUGAGCUUCAGUGCAUCACUUCUCAUUCGUAGAUGGAAAAGAAAUGUUCAAAAGCAACUACGAAAAAAAUAUUUCCAGAAGAACCAUGGUCUUCUCCUAGAAACGUUGAUAUCAUCUGAUGAAACUGCAAAUGAGAAUACUAAGAUUUUCUCGCUAGAAGAGCUGGAGAAGGCAACAAACAACUUUGAUCCUACACGUAUCAUUGGAGGUGGGGGCCACGGCAUGGUUUACAAAGGCAUAUUGUCUGAUCAGCGUAUUGUUGCAGUAAAAAAGUCUAAGGUCAUUGAGCAGUCUGAGAUCAGUCAAUUCAUCAAUGAGGUUGCAGUGCUCACUCAGAUAAACCACAGAAAUAUUGUGAAGCUCUUUGGAUGUUGUCUCGAAAGUGAGGUUCCACUGCUGGUGUAUGAUUAUGUAUCCAGUGGCUCACUGUCUGAAGUUCUUCAUGCAGAUGAAAGUGUUGGUUUUUCUUUGUCUUGGGGUGAUUACUUAAGGAUUGCCCUGGAAACAGCAGGAGCUCUGUCUUAUCUCCACUCUUCAGCUUCAAUAUCAAUCUUCCACCGUGACGUGAAAUCCUCAAAUAUACUAUUGGAUGUGAACUACACAGCUAAAGUUUCAGACUUUGGUGCUUCUAGAUUGGUUCCAAUUGAUCAAACACAUAUUGUCACAAAUGUGCAAGGUACAUUUGGGUACUUAGAUCCAGAGUAUUUCCAUACCAGGCAGCUGAACGGGAAGAGCGACGUGUACAGUUUUGGUGUGGUACUACUGGAGCUGCUCCUUAGAAUGAAGCCUGUCUUUACAAGUGAAUCAGGCACAAUCAUGGGCUUGUCAAGCUAUUUUCUCCAGGAAUUCAAUGAGGGAAGAAUAAAAGGUAUUGUUAACUCCCAGGUCCUCGAGGAAGCAACCGAGGAAGAGAUCAACGGUGUCGCCUCUCUUGCAGAGCGGUGCUUAAGACUGAGUGGUGAAGAAAGACCCACCAUGAAACAGGUGGAGACGGAACUGCAAACUCUAUGGGCAAAACAGAUGGACUCAUCUCAGGUAGAUACCAGGAAUGAAGAACAGAGGCAACCAAGUUCGUUAACUCAAAGAUCUAGAGCUGCUCGCCAAUCGUCUGCGACGGAAUUGGGCAAGAGAGUCUACGUACGGCCAGAAGACAGCCAACAACGCUAUAGCUUGGAGAGAGAGUUCAUGUCAUCUGCUAGUUUGCCCCGCUAG
Molecule: ribosomal RNA, 2757 nt
Filed under: Triticum aestivum (bread wheat)
Lineage: Eukaryota; Viridiplantae; Streptophyta; Magnoliopsida; Poales; Poaceae
Description: partial small subunit ribosomal RNA
Source: RNAcentral